This 29-nucleotide non-coding RNA is filed under the name Mus musculus (house mouse). The record is from RNAcentral. Lineage: Eukaryota; Metazoa; Chordata; Mammalia; Rodentia; Muridae.
UACCUUACGCACCGUGACCUAUUCACCCU